Molecule: transfer RNA, 76 nt
Filed under: Dinobdella ferox
Lineage: Eukaryota; Metazoa; Annelida; Clitellata; Hirudinida; Hirudinidae
Description: tRNA-Trp
Source: RNAcentral
AAGAUUUUAAGUUAAUAAAACUAUAAUUUUUCAAAGAUUAACAUAAAGAUACUAAAAAUCAAUUCUUUAAAUCUUG